This 253-nucleotide ribosomal RNA is filed under the name uncultured bacterium. Its description in RNAcentral is "partial 16S ribosomal RNA". It matches the Rfam family "Bacterial small subunit ribosomal RNA", at positions 524 to 776 of the family's 1533-position model. The record is from RNAcentral.
UACGUAGGGUGCGAGCGUUAAUCGGAAUUACUGGGCGUAAAGCGUGCGCAGGCGGCGCGUUAAGACAGGUGUGAAAGCCCCGAGCUUAACUUGGGAAUUGCGCUUGUGACUGGCGUGCUGGAGUGUGGCAGAGGGAGGUGGAAUUCCACGUGUAGCAGUGAAAUGGGUAGAGAUGUGGAGGAACACCGAUGGCGAAGGCAGCCUCCUGGGCCAGCACUGACGCUCAUGCACGAAAGCGUGGGGAGCAAACAGG